Dermochelys coriacea (leatherback sea turtle) is the source of this 2056-nucleotide long non-coding RNA. RefSeq lists it as uncharacterized. The record is from RefSeq and is a predicted model, not a curated record. NCBI's taxonomy places the organism in Eukaryota, Metazoa, Chordata, Testudines, Dermochelyidae. The transcript has 3 exons.
UCUCGCUUUUGGACAGGAAGGGACUUGGCUGCAGGGAGCACCUAGAUUGGAGCAGGGCUGAAGAAAGGCCAAGGGAGCUGGGGCGUUCCAGCCAGGAAAAUCCCAGGCUGUGGCCUAGUAGAAGGCCAGGCAGCACCAGUUUUGGGUCUAUUGGGGCAUGACAAUCCACAGGGACAAGAUGAUACAGCUGAGUUGCAAAUUAUAAGCAGUGAACUCUCAAGGACUCCCGGUGUUAGUUCACAUGGUGCCUAUUACAAUGGGGUCCUGAUGCUUCAUGCAGGUCCUUAGCUUGAAUCACCAUAGAAAUAAUGAUGAAGUGCAACAGGAUUGAUACCCAUUGAAGACUACAGGUGUCAUUGAAGACAUGCAUAUGGGGACCAAAAAGAAAACAGCAUCACUGUCAAAACUCAAGGGGAAUUCAUAAACUACCUACUAGACAAAAUAUUUUUACUUUACUUUAGAUACUGAAAUUAGCAAGACAUAAUCAAUCAGCAUGGAAUCCCAUAUAUUUUAGUUUAUAUGCCACUUUUCAGGGUAGACCAGAAUUUCAACACUGCUUACCUUUAAAAGUCUUGCCAGGAUAGCCAUAGGAGUUUUGCCUACUCUACAGUUUUGCGAACAUAGCUAUGCUGGGAAGGACAUAGCUCCGCCGGCAAAACUUUUCAGUGUAGACCAGGCCCAAGAAACAUGGAAAUUUUUAAUCGCUGUCCUGCAUCUAGUGUAGUUGUUCAGACAGGACAGAGUGAGAGAAAAACUACCACGAUGACUUGGUAGCAUUUACCACCCACUUUACUCUGGAGUAAAAUGGCUACAGAGAUACAGAACAAUUAUGAAGUAGGUGUAAUUACUGAAGACUUUGCCAAUAUAGACAUUACAUCAACAGUUAGAAACUAUGUAAUUUCACAUUGACAAACUAAAAUCAAAGGGGUUUCUCCCCUCUUCCUUUUUAGCAGGAUAAACCUUUUAAAAUGCAGUUUUUUAAAAAAAAAAGACAAAACAUAUGAAGGAAUAUAUUUUCAAAAUCAAGACAUCAAGUAUAUUUCACAGAUGUGUAUGCAAAAAAGGUAUACAUCUACUAUAAUUUGAACACAAAUAUAAAGUAUUCAGUUCAACCAUGAUAUGUUACUUCACACUUGAAGAGAACUUCCCCACAAAAUCGGAGUUCAUAAAAUGCAACAUAAUAAAAAUACUCAUUGUUUGUGGUCACCUACAAAGUCAUGAAAGUCAAGAGGUUUGAAACAAUAUUAACCAUAUGCAUGCAAAUUGUCAAGGAGCCAGUGAGGCAACAAUCAAAAUUAGCUUUUUUACAUUCCCCCUCAAAUCUUUCAGUCCAUGGACACUAAAGAAAUAUUUCCAACUACUGCUGAAGAAGAGUUUGUAAUGCAUAAUGUAUGUGUAAUUAUUACUUUCAGUAAACAUGAAGUUUUUAUUUAUUAUCCCUCAAGGUAAAUACUGAUUCUUGCUUUAAACUUUACAUUUGUAAUUAAUUUAGUCAGCAAGUUUACACAUUUUCCCUGUUUGGGAAUCAUCUGUAAACACUAUUACAGAUUAGUUCAUUAGCCAUAUCUGUGGAAAUUAUUAUUUUGUACAAAAGAGUUUCAGCUUAUGGGUGGCUUAUUGUUCGCUGAAAGUACUCAAUGUUCAAGAUGUAUCACUGGUUACCUAACUCACAUCAUUUUGUUUCUGUACCCUUAUUAGAUGACCUAACACAAACCCGCAGAAAGAUUUCAAGAUGGCCACACAAGUACAAUUUUGGUUCCAAUAUACAUUUGCAUGAAUAUACAUAACGCUUUCAAAUUCGGUGAAUCUUGUGAACAAAAAUUAAUUUGCUUUUUAUGAAUGUUCACAGAAAGCAAAGAAAAGGGGUUGAGAGUAUAGGUUUUAUUUGAAAGAGCAUUUGAAUACUUUUUUGAUUUAUUCACCUAGAUCUAUUUUUAAAUAAUUAACCAAGGUACCCAAGUCAAUAUAACACUUGUAAUGCACAAAUUUAAAUGUAAAAAAGUUUGUCUCUACUAGUUUCCACCUGCAUUUUCACCGCCUCCUUUUUUAAGUAGUG